GCGCAGGCCCCGCGCGCCGCCCGCGAACUGCUGCGGAGGACGAAGGAAGGCGCGGUCUUGGCUCAAUUUGACUAUUGUUCUUUUCCCGGCUGGGUCCCUAAUGAGUAAGAUGAGCUUCCGGGUGUCGCUUGAAAUCCCUUGGGUCUGCCUGCAAAUACGGCCUGUGUUAGGUGUGGUGGCAUUCCGAAUCAACAUGCGUCGGAAGCUGAUUCUGUCCGACAGCUCCAGGUCUACACAUGAGGAAAAUGCUCCCAGAAGAAACUGAAGCUCCAGCAGUUCAUCUACAUGGACGUUCCUUUUGGCUCAAAGAUCACUAUUAACAGAGAGAUAUAACACUCGGGGCUUUCCUGAUGGCUCAGCAGGUAAAGAAAUUCAUCGGGAAGCUAACACAGGAGCCACAGGAGACGAGGGUUUGAUCCCUGGAUUGGGAAGAUCUCCUGGAGGCAGGCAUGGCAGCUCACGCCAGUGUUCUUGUCUGGGAAAUCCCAUGGACAGAGUUGCCUGGCAGGCUACAAUCCAUGGGGUCACAAAGAAUGAUAUGAUUGAAGUGACUGAACAUGCACGCAUAGACACUAGAUACUGGAUUUCAUGACUGUGUUCUCUCUCCAGUGCUGCCAUAGACACCUUCUGGCAGUGGCUGAAGUACUUACAAAAGAAGACUGUCUAGGCAAAGACACAUUCGGUUAGUUGUGAAAUUCUUCUUAAGAGGGGGAAAUAAAAAAAGACGAUUUUUGAGGAAGAGUGAAAAUUUUGUCUGGCACCAUUUUGUUUACACACCACUUUUAUUCUCAAUUAGUCUCAAUUUUAAUGGUGUUUGCUCACUUUUAUUUGCUUCUGAAGGGCACUUGAUCCUUUUAUUGAUAUGAAAGCUAAGCUGAUUUUCAGAUCUUUUGAUUGAAUCUAUAGCCUCUCAAUUAGAUGAAACUGUGGCUGAGCACACACACAUCCCUGAACAAAGCAUGACAAAUUCAGCUUCUUUCUUUGAAAUCCUCCUCUUUUAUCAACAUCAAUGCAUAAUUAUAGCCUCUUACUGUACCUACUCAGAUGCUGAUUAUAUUACAUAAAUGCUUAAAUGGUUACGCAGCCUUCAUGACAUGUUAAUUCUGUAAUAGUGUUCAUCUUUUCAGCUCUUAGCCAUGGUGAAAAGGAAACAUAAUCCAAAAAGAGUGUCUGAUGUGUUAAUCAUUCAUAAAUCUGAAAAAUAUGUGUUUGAUCAA
Long non-coding RNA from Bubalus bubalis (water buffalo), 1217 nucleotides. RefSeq lists it as uncharacterized. NCBI's taxonomy places the organism in Eukaryota, Metazoa, Chordata, Mammalia, Artiodactyla, Bovidae. The record is from RefSeq and is a predicted model, not a curated record. The transcript has 3 exons.